GGCUUCCGACAUGCUCGACGCUGCAGCGGGCCACGUGGCCUGAGGUCUCUCCGGUGGCACUUACUUAGCUCAGCCCUCCUUGUCCCCGUGCCCGCCGCGUCCAGGCGGCCGGGACCCGGGUUCGACGUCAGCUCGGCGCCCCCUCGGGAGAGGCCGUCCCAGCCCCGGGGAAGGAGCACCCGGGAAGCCCUGUGAGGGACGUCCUCGGGGUGCCAGGGGCCCUUCCCGGGAAGCACCCUCGUGGCCCGGGUUCCCGGAACCUCUCGUGCCUGUGGCUCGGACGCUUAAAGGAUCUCGGCCACAGGGAGCUUCAAGCUCCUUUUUUAGUGUGAAAAGAUAACAUUUCGAGAAUCAAACUGACCAGGGGCGGAGGCGCCCAGGCUGGGACGGUGUCCGGGUUCUUGGCGCCUUGGGGGCUCCGGCCUGUACAGUGGUUCUGCUGACGCGGACACAGGCAGUUUAGGAAGUGCGUGAGACCGUGGAUCUGAAACGCUUUAAGUUUCCGCAGGAUCGGUAUAAUUCCGGAGUUAGCAACAAACGUAGGUUCAGUGCAGUUACAAGAUGCUGAUGAAAUUAAGGGCUGGUGCUUGAGAGGCAGAAUUGUGGUGCUCGAAAGAAGCUUUUCAAGUGGCCCGGUGUUUCAUUGGUUUGAAUCCUGGGCGCAGACAUGGCACUGCUCAUCAAACCACGCUGAGGCAGCAUCCCACAUGCCACAACUAGAAGGACCCACAACGAAG
RNAcentral lists this long non-coding RNA (737 nucleotides) under Equus caballus (horse). RNAcentral describes it as "lncRNA (ENSECAG00000052421.1)". The record is from RNAcentral. Lineage: Eukaryota; Metazoa; Chordata; Mammalia; Perissodactyla; Equidae.